This 384-nucleotide long non-coding RNA is filed under the name Phoenix dactylifera (date palm). RNAcentral's name for it is "long non-coding RNA (PDAC_LNC020088)". The record is from RNAcentral. Lineage: Eukaryota; Viridiplantae; Streptophyta; Magnoliopsida; Arecales; Arecaceae.
AAAAGCCCGGCCACCGGCUUCUUGCAGGUCCCCCGAAGGACGCUGCUCGCCGACGGAUCGCCGUCCGCCAGUGUUCGCCGGAGCUCCUCCUCCUCGGUUCACGGCCGCCCCCGGGUCCAAUUUCCAGCAACAGAUGGCGCUAGAGGAAGGGCCCGAGUUCGCUGCCAUGAAGCUAAGAAGCAAAGGGGCUUCCAACGCCUCUCGACGUCCUCCACCAAGUCCAGAACGUUCCGUUCGGAACUCACCACCUCCGGCCGAGUCAGCGCCUCAAGUUCGACCGGAGCAGUUUGAUGCCCUGGCGCAGCAAGUGCAGGCGUUGGCUACCGCCGUCCAAAGCUUGCAACCCAGGGGCAUUCCAGCGGCACCGCCUCCUCCGGCUCCAGU